RNAcentral lists this ribosomal RNA (921 nucleotides) under uncultured bacterium. RNAcentral describes it as "bacterial SSU rRNA". It matches the Rfam family "Bacterial small subunit ribosomal RNA", at positions 1 to 916 of the family's 1533-position model. The record is from RNAcentral.
AAGUCCUUAGAGUUUGAUCCUGGCUCAGGAUGAACGCUAGCUACAGGCUUAACACAUGCAAGUCGAGGGGCAGCAUGACGAUAGCUUGCUAUUGUUGAUGGCGACCGGCGCACGGGUGAGUAACGCGUAUCCAACCUGCCCUUGUCCAUCGGAUAACCCGUCGAAAGGCGGCCUAACACGAUAUGCAGUUCUCAGCAGGCAUCUAACGAGAACGAAAUGUGAAGGAGAAGGAUGGGGAUGCGUCUGAUUAGCUUGUUGGCGGGGUAACGGCCCACCAAGGCGACGAUCAGUAGGGGUUCUGAGAGGAAGGUCCCCCACAUUGGAACUGAGACACGGUCCAAACUCCUACGGGAGGCAGCAGUGAGGAAUAUUGGUCAAUGGGCGAGAGCCUGAACCAGCCAAGUAGCGUGCAGGAUGACGGCCCUAUGGGUUGUAAACUGCUUUUAUGCGGGGAUAAAGUGAGCCAGGUGUGGCUUAUCGCAGGUACCGCAUGAAUAMGGACCGGCUAAUUCCGUCCCAGCAGCCGCGGUAAUACGGAAGGUCCGGGCGUUAUCCGGAUUUAUUGGGUUUAAAGGGAGCCUAGGCCGUCUGAUAAGCGUGUUGUGAAAUGUCGGGGCUCAACCUGGGCAUUGCAGCGCGAACUGUGAGACUUGAGUGCGCGGGAAGUAGGCGGAAUUCGUCGUGUAGCGGUGAAAUGCUUAGAUAUGACGAAGAACUCCGAUUGCGAAGGCAGCCUGCUGUAGCGCAACUGACGCUGAAGCUCGAAAGCGUGGGUAUCGAACAGGAUUAGAUACCCUGGUAGUCCACGCGGUAAACGAUGGAUGCUCGCUGUUUGCGUCUGACGUAAGCGGCCAAGCGAAAGCGUUAAGCAUCCCACCUGGGGAGUACGCCGGCAACGGUGAAACUCUAAUGAAUUGACGG